This 816-nucleotide ribosomal RNA is filed under the name Aculus ichnocarpi. RNAcentral's name for it is "partial 28S ribosomal RNA". It matches the Rfam family "Eukaryotic large subunit ribosomal RNA", at positions 366 to 816 of the family's 3401-position model. The record is from RNAcentral. Lineage: Eukaryota; Metazoa; Arthropoda; Arachnida; Trombidiformes; Eriophyidae.
AAAUAGAACUUUGCAGAGAGAGUUAACAGGGCGUGAAACCGUUAAUUGGCAAACGAAUCGGAGCCACGAAGUCGUUUCGUCGUUGAGUUGGACCCUGUUCAGCGAGUAUCCUCUUCACCGGGGGUACCCGUGUAUUCUGGGUUCGGCCAACUUUGUAAGCGUACACUGCAACUAGUUAGACGAUUGGCCAUGGGCACAGCCUGCGAGCUGAGCAAUCGGCUCGUUGGCGAAGCACUUGUUUGUGCGCGUUAGCAGCGGCGCUGCUGUGCCUCGGUGCAGUGGUGUUGCUUGACGCGUGCAAGUGAACUAUGGCCAAAUACUGACUAGCGAAAUGAAAACCGCUCCCUAGCGAGCGUUAGAGACAACACAGCCAACUGGACGGGCCUCUACGCGACCAACUGUUGGGUCUAAGCUCGGCGUUUUUGAAUUUAGACUUGCUUGCUACCAGUGGGGCAACUCCUGGUGCUUGUAUUGCUUCUAUCUAAUCGGGCGUUGACUUGGCCCAACAUCGUUUGAGCGCGCACCGAUAGGAGGUUCGUUCAAGCUGGUUUGUAACUUGAAUUGGCAGUGAGUAGGUCGGCUUUCCGAACGACCCGUCUUGAAACACGGACCAAGGAGUCUAAUUGGGCAUCGAGUCGAUCGGUCUUGACUAGGCCAGACGGGGGGACGCUCGUCGUCCCCCGAUUGAAGGCGUAGAGAAAUCAAAUCGUGUGAUCGCUCUGGCAACAACAGCCGGUGCGCGCAACAUGUGCCUGUUCGUGUAGUUGUGUUAGCAAUAACCAACUGAGCGGAGCAAAGAGAUGCCCGAUUGGGACC